UUAAGGGCUUGUAAGUAAGCAUUUCACUGUAAGGUCUACAAAUAACAUUUGAUUUGAUUUGAUCUUUGUCCUGAUAGGGAGGGAAUUUGUUUAAGCUGGCCCGUGGCACUGGGUGGAUGAAGUUUGCACCAGGUUCAAAAUGAUUCCAUUCUUUUGGUAACCUGGUUGCCUCCCUGGCAUGAGCCGGCUGCCCUGUUCAAAGCCGAUGGUGAUGUCGGCUCAAAACAAAGAGAGGUAUUGUCAAGACUUCCGACAGAUGAAGUGACAGGGCACUGAGUCAUCAUCAUAAAGUAGACCCAGAGAUUCUACAGUUUGACCCUGACCUGAAGCAACUGUGCAGUAAAGCAGCCAGUGUCAGGAACCUUGACUCCCAGGUCAAAGUAAUAUACAACGGAUGACGGAUCAGUUAAGAAACUGAUGCUCUGCAAGGGCCUCUCCAUUACUGGACCUGACACAUCCACGCAACUGAACCCUUCCAAGCCCAGCCACUAAUCCACACAUACACACAGGUAUUGAUAGGUGUUGUGCUGUUAAUAAUCUCAGGGUCUGUGUGUGAAUGUGUGUGUUUCUGCCUGCCUACGUGGUGCGCUGCGCCAGUGUCUAUGUCACUUGAUUUUGAGGCGCGGAGAAGACAGAGUGGGAAUACGAGUGUUGGGGCGAGGAGAAGUCUGAGUGGGGAUAUGAAUGUGGGGGUCAGCAAAUCCCACCCUGUUGUAAAUCAAGGGAGAAGAUUCAAGUGUGUGCUCUCAUGAUUCACCAAAGGAAUGUGCUUGUUUCAACAGACUUUUUCCUGCUGAAAUUCUAACAUGUCCAAAAGCGAAUACUGGAACAAUACUUCUAACAUAGAACGUGGGGAAUGGUCAGAGGCAAUCUAUAGAGCACUAAUGUCAUUUUGUUUGUUAUUUUGUGAUGACGUUAAAAUGUUAUAAAGGAAAUACUGUAACUUGGAAAGUAUACCCACUACAUAUAUGAAGUUUACAUACUCCGUGUUGUGCAUAUAAAAUUAACAAUUAUGAAAGUGUUUUUGUUAAGAGAGGGAUGUGAUUUGAUAAGCUAUAAGAGAUAAUUGUUUUACCUAACUUUGCACAUUGUUUUACCUAACUUUGAGUCGUUACCGCCUGGAGUGAGGUCAGGGAGCGUGUCAGCCUGCCGGAACCACCCCUUUUGAGUAAAAUGUAUAAAUGAUGGGUUAAGAAAAAAACACAUCAGACCAGAAAGACGUGAAGCUACAGCUGCAGGUUUACAGUGGUUUGAAGUUUUUACUUUUAAUCUCAACACGAGGUGGAGACGAUAAACUCAUCUCCAGGAUGAUCACUAGUAUGGCUGAUUAGCUGUCCUAAGUAAAGUAUCUUCUAAAGCGAAUUUAAGUUGCACUAUCCUGUUACUCUGCUCAAACUAUCGAUACGGCUGGGUAGCCUAUCUUCAAAGAAGAGUGAAUGGAAGGAAAGUCAACUCUGUAGUUCUGUUCAGGACUACACAUCAAGUCACCGGAUACCGGACAACCACAAAGAAGGACAACAGUAGAAGACUUGUUGGAACCAUUUCGGACAAUCAGAGCCUUACAAGCGUGCCGCGAAAAGGCCAAACCCCCUUUCCAAGGCUGCCCUGUUCACCGAGAGAUCCCCAGCAAACCCAGGCAUUUCACGUAAAUACAUUCAUGAUUUCUUACUCAAAGCAGGCGGCGGUUCGUGUGCAAAGUAUAUGGUUACUGUAGGUGAGAGUAGUUUCUGAAUGUACCAAUGCUAAGUGUCUCUGUCCCUCUCUCUCUCCCUCUCCAUCUCUUUUGUAAUUAGCAGCCAUGUUGUUGUCAUUUCGCUAGGGACCUGUUUUCAGCGUAUUAAGUCUACAGUCAAUAACCGGUGCAAAGUGUGUAUGUUUAUCCUGUGUUCCCAUUUAAUUAGCUAGUAAAUAAAUAAUUAAACCAAUUUGUGUAGUACUGAAUCAUAAGUACGGCUUGGGUUUUUGCAGAUGCAAGGAAGUUACGACUGUUCAGAAUGAUGACAUGAUAUGAG
RNAcentral lists this long non-coding RNA (2012 nucleotides) under Salmo salar (Atlantic salmon). RNAcentral's name for it is "lncRNA (ENSSSAG00000084711.1, ENSSSAG00000103845.1)". Lineage: Eukaryota; Metazoa; Chordata; Actinopteri; Salmoniformes; Salmonidae. The record is from RNAcentral.